UACGGAGGGUGCAAGCGUUGUUCGGAAUUACUGGGCGUAAAGCGCGUGUAGGUGGCUUGUUAUGUCAGGUGUGAAAGCCCUCGGCCUAACCGAGGAAGUGCGCCUGAAACUGCCAAGCUUGAGUACGAGAGAGGAGGACGGAAUUCCCAGUGUAGAGGUGAAAUUCGUAGAUAUUGGGAGGAACACCAGUGGCGAAGGCGGCCACCUGGCCCGGUACUGACGCUCAAGUGCGAAAGCGUGGGGAGCAAACAGG
RNAcentral lists this ribosomal RNA (253 nucleotides) under uncultured bacterium. RNAcentral describes it as "partial 16S ribosomal RNA". It matches the Rfam family "Bacterial small subunit ribosomal RNA", at positions 524 to 776 of the family's 1533-position model. The record is from RNAcentral.